This 450-nucleotide ribosomal RNA is filed under the name uncultured bacterium. Its description in RNAcentral is "partial 16S ribosomal RNA". It matches the Rfam family "Bacterial small subunit ribosomal RNA", at positions 354 to 796 of the family's 1533-position model. The record is from RNAcentral.
GUGGGGAAUAUUGGACAAUGGGCGAAAGCCUGAUCCAGCCAUGCCGCGUGUGUGAAGAAGGUCUUCGGAUUGUAAAGCACUUUAAGUUGGGAGGAAGGGCAUUAACCUAAUACGUUAGUGUUUUGACGUUACCGACAGAAUAAGCACCGGCUAACUUCGUGCCAGCAGCCGCGGUAAUACGAAGGGUGCAAGCGUUAAUCGGAAUUACUGGGCGUAAAGCGCGCGUAGGUGGUUCGUUAAGUUGGAUGUGAAAGCCCCGGGCUCAACCUGGGAACUGCAUCCAAAACUGGCGAGCUAGAGUACGGUAGAGGGUGGUGGAAUUUCCUGUGUAGCGGUGAAAUGCGUAGAUAUAGGAAGGAACACCAGUGGCGAAGGCGGCCACCUGGACUGAUACUGACACUGAGGUGCGGAAGCGUGGGGAGCAAACAGGAUUAGAAACCCUUGUAGUCC